UACAGAGGUCUCAAGCGUUGUUCGGAUUCAUUGGGCGUAAAGGGUGCGUAGGCGGCGAUGUAAGUCGGGUGUGAAAUCCCGGGGCUCAACCCCGGAACUGCAUUCGAUACUGCAUUGCUUGAGGACUGGAGAGGAGACUGGAAUUCACGGUGUAGCAGUGAAAUGCGUAGAUAUCGUGAGGAAGACCGGUGGCGAAGGCGGGUCUCUGGACAGUUCCUGACGCUGAGGCACGAAGGCCAGGGGAGCAAACGGG
RNAcentral lists this ribosomal RNA (253 nucleotides) under uncultured bacterium. RNAcentral describes it as "partial 16S ribosomal RNA". It matches the Rfam family "Bacterial small subunit ribosomal RNA", at positions 524 to 776 of the family's 1533-position model. RNAcentral also lists the same sequence under 1 other name. The record is from RNAcentral.